AUCGCUUCUCGGCCUUUUGGCUAAGAUCAAGUGUAGUAUCUGUUCUUACCAGUUUAACAAAAUCAGUGAAAGUAGCCAAAAAGUUUACAUAGUCCCACAUCCUAUUGUCUUAAGCCAAAAAGGCUGGUUCCACUUUGUAUCUACUUUGUAUCUGCUUUCCUGUCUUCUAGAGAAAGAAUAACAGAACUAAA
This is a small nuclear RNA of Neomonachus schauinslandi (Hawaiian monk seal), 191 nucleotides long. RefSeq annotates it as U2 spliceosomal RNA. The record is from RefSeq and is a predicted model, not a curated record. The transcript has a single exon. Lineage: Eukaryota; Metazoa; Chordata; Mammalia; Carnivora; Phocidae.